GACGAACGCUGGCGGCGUGCUUAACACAUGCAAGUCGAACGAUGAACCAGGGCUUGCCCUGGGGAUUAGUGGCGAACGGGUGAGUAACACGUGGGCAACCUGCCCCAGACACCGGGAUAACCUCUCGAAAGAGUGGCUAAUACCGGAUACGACCACUUUGGGCAUCCAACGGUGGUGGAAAGGAUUCUGGUCUGGGAUGGGCCCGCGGCCUCUCGGCUUGUUGGUGGGGUAAUGGCCUACCAAGGCGACGACGGGUAGCCGGCCUGAGAGGGGGACCGGCGACACUGGGACUGAGACACGGCCCAGACUCCUACGGGAGGCAGCAGUGGGGAAUAUUGCGCAAUGGGCGAAAGCCUGACGCAGCGACGCCGCGUGAGGGACGAAGGUCUUCGGAUUGUAAACCUCUUUCAGCAGGGACGAAGCGAAAGUGACUGUACCUGCAGAAGAAGCACCGGCUAACUACGUGCCAGCAGCCGCCGUAA
Molecule: ribosomal RNA, 482 nt
Filed under: uncultured bacterium
Lineage: Bacteria
Description: partial 16S ribosomal RNA
Rfam family: Bacterial small subunit ribosomal RNA
Source: RNAcentral